This 334-nucleotide ribosomal RNA is filed under the name uncultured bacterium. Its description in RNAcentral is "bacterial SSU rRNA". It matches the Rfam family "Bacterial small subunit ribosomal RNA", at positions 568 to 898 of the family's 1533-position model. The record is from RNAcentral.
CGUGUAGGCGGCUUAGCAAGUCGGGUGUGAAAGCCCUCGGCUCAACCGAGGAAGUGCGCCCGAAACUGCUGAUCUUGAGUACCGGAGAGGAUGGCGGAAUUCCCCAAAGUAGAGGUGAAAUUCGUAGAUAUAGGGGAGGAACACCGGUGGCGAAGGCGGCCAUCUGGACGGAUACUGACGCUGAGACGCGAAAGCGUGGGGAGCAAACAGGAUUAGAUACCCUGGUAGUCCACGCCGUAAACGAUGAGAACUAGGUGUCGUGGGUGUUGACCCCCGCGGUGCCGUAGCCAACGCAUUAAGUUCUCCGCCUGGGAAGUACGGCCGCAAGGCUAAA